This 402-nucleotide ribosomal RNA is filed under the name uncultured Acidovorax sp. RNAcentral describes it as "bacterial SSU rRNA". It matches the Rfam family "Bacterial small subunit ribosomal RNA", at positions 980 to 1382 of the family's 1533-position model. Lineage: Bacteria; Pseudomonadati; Pseudomonadota; Betaproteobacteria; Burkholderiales; Comamonadaceae. The record is from RNAcentral.
UUUGACAUGUACGGAAUCCUUUAGAGAUAGAGGAGUGCUCGAAAGAGAACCGUAACACAGGUGCUGCAUGGCUGUCGUCAGCUCGUGUCGUGAGAUGUUGGGUUAAGUCCCGCAACGAGCGCAACCCUUGUCAUUAGUUGCUACAUUCAGUUGGGCACUCUAAUGAGACUGCCGGUGACAAACCGGAGGAAGGUGGGGAUGACGUCAAGUCCUCAUGGCCCUUAUAGGUGGGGCUACACACGUCAUACAAUGGAUGGUACAAAGGGUCGCCAACCCGCGAGGGGGAGCCAAUCCCAUAAAGCCAUUCGUAGUCCGGAUCGCAGUCUGCAACUCGACUGCGUGAAGUCGGAAUCGCUAGUAAUCGUGGAUCAGAAUGUCACGGUGAAUACGUUCCCGGGUCUU